CAUAGUGCACAAAAAAAAUAACAAAGCAGCACAAUUUUUUGUUUUACAUGGCUGUGGUUUUUAAUAUAGAGGAAUACAAUGGCACAGUUGUGUCUCACCCACAAACCACAAACACACAUGGGCUCAGGUUAAGUCAAACUGCAAGCCACUGUCCUGGGAACAAAGUGCAGACACCUGCAUUUCUAACGGCAGUGGUUUUGGCUGUGUGAUUAUAAUAAAAAUGAUUACCCUCAUUUCGACAGUGCAUGGCCCAGUAGUCUCAAAGCCAUAUGUUCCUCCUCCUCCUGCUCCUUUCUCCCGCUUUUACUGUGUGUUCUUCAAGAGUUCGAAGAAGAGUGGAAAAACUGUGAGAGGAGAAAAACAUGCUCAUGGCUGAGUAUCUGUCCUUCUCUUCCUUUUUGUAUGAGAGAGAGUGAAAGAGGCAGCGGCACAUACAGCACAGCGGUUGGCAGCCUGCAGUACUUCCUCAUCCUGGCUGUUGUGUUGAGACAGACAGCCGCUGCUCCUGACCCUUUUCGCCCUCAGACUCUUCAUACAGCUCAGCAAAGGACGGAUAUUUUGGUCUGUUGUGCUUCAGGGCACUCAGGCAGAGGGCAGUCUCUAGGACAGCGUCCAGUGACAAACACGUGUAGUUAGCUGACGCGCAGCCAUGAUGAAAUCGGGCGCCACCAAGGUGGGGCUGCCCAAGCCGGGACUCCAGAAGCAGGUCUCCUUGGCCACCUCUUCCUCCACCGCCUCCUCCACAGCCAUGAAGACAUCCAGAUCAUCCAACACACUGGCCUCAGACCAGCGCCUUAGCAGGCUGAAAAGAGCCAGCAGUGACGAUGCCUUGACAAAGCCUGCACUGGGAGCUGCUGCCUCUGGCUCCCGGAUGAAAAAGACUGUGACCACUGGAGCCAUCUCAGAUCUUGCAGAGGGCCGUCCUCGCAGCCUGUCUGGUGCACAAGCGGCCAAGAAGUCUGGUAUUCCAGCUCCUAGAGAAAUCCCUUCCACCAUAACAAGAGACCGCAUCUCUCUGAGGGACCAGCUUAGGAGCUCCACCACUAAGAGGAUGGUUUCCAGUGCCAGCACUUCCAGCCUCUCCACCCUGGCAAAGCAGACACGUAGUUCAACCAAGUCCCGUGGAGACGCAGAGAGCCAGGAAAAGGGCCUUCUGGAGUGCCAGGUGAAAGAGCUGCUGGCUGAGGCCAAGGCCAAAGACUUAGAGAUCAGCAAUCUCAGGAUGGAGUUGCAGCGCUGCAAAGGUAAAGCCUCCACCGCUCCCUCCUCACCGUCAGCCAACUCUGUCGCAUGGCAAGAGCCGGCUGCAGAUCGGGAGCAGGAGCAAGUGGCGGAGGCCCUUGUACUGGUUGGGGAGCUGAGGGAGAAGAACGGGAAGUUUCAGAGAGAGCUGGCAGGGCUUAGGGAGGAGAACCAGGCGCUGAAGGAAAAACUGCUUUCCUUGGAGGCCUCUCCUCUCUCCAGUACAAACACAAGCAGCCCUUCCAAGCCUUUGGUGAAUGGACUGCCCUCAGACUCCAACUCCUCAACUCAGCAACAGGACAGUCUUCCUUCCACUGCCAGCCCUCUCAAAACCUCUGUCUCCUCUGGUUCUGACAUCACCAAGGACUCACCAUCACCCGACUCCUCAGAGUUUGAGAAGAUCCCGUCGCGUUCAGAGUCAGUGAGUAGCGGUGUUAGUGCGGAAGCCGUUACAGCGGGGGCAGUGACCAAUGCAGGAGGGCAGGAUGUGUCAGUGCAGAGCCUGACCGAAAGGAUUCACAAGAUGGAGGAGAGCCACCACAGCACAGCCGAGGAGCUGCAGGCAACUGUGCAGGAGCUGGCUGACCAGCAGCAAGUGGUGCAGGAGCUGACAGCUGAGAAUGAGCGUCUGGCCGAGGAGAAACGCCUCCUGCAGACCUCGCUUCAACAGCAGAGAGAGCGCCUGGAGGUGCUGGCCCAGAAGAAUGAAGCACUCACUGGCCGACUUCAGGAGCAAGCACAAGCUCAGGCCAAGAGGGAGGAGGAGCUGGGUAGCCAAGGGCCUCGGCUGGCCGAGCUGGAGCAGAGGUAUGCCGAGCUGGUCGAGAGCUCGCGCUUCGAACGGGAGAAGCUAGUGGACAUCCAGCAGCAGCUGACAGGCAGCCUGCGGGCUCUGGAGGAGGAGCACCAGGAGGCGCAGGGCCAGGUGCGCUGCAUCAAAGAGGAGAUGGACAGACUGCAGACCCAGCUGGACAGGGAGGUGGAAGCUGGAGGUCAGGCAGCACAGGUCGCAGAGGAACAGAGGGCAACAGCAGACUGUCUCAGACUGGAAAACAGUAGGCUGAAAGCGCAGGUGGACAUUGAGAGGCAAAAGGUGGGUGAGCUGAAGGCCAUGCAGAGCGCUGGUGACAGCAGUGAAGUGCAGAACUUGCUGAAAACAGCCCACGCUGAGAGAGACAGGCUGGAGGUGGAGCUGACAGAGCUGAGGCAGGAGCUGCUACAAGCCCAGGCCGAGACUGAGCACGUGCAAGCCACAAUGUCCAAGACGGAGGCCAAAUGCCAGCAGGUUCAGGAGCGGGCUGAGAGGAGGGAGCAGGAGCUCAGCAGCCGGGUGACUUCACUGGAGGAGGCCGCGAUUCACACUGAGAACCAGGUGAAGGAGCUGAAGGAGACCAUCUUCGAACUGGAGGACCAGGUGGAGCAGCAGAGGGCCGUCAACUGCCAUACCAACCAAGCCGUCCUGGACAUGGAGAAUCUUGUCAAAAAGCUGGAGGAGCAGAAAUCUGACGCAGACCGACAGCUGAAGGUCAUGAGUAGACAAAUGAAGGAUGAAAAAGAGGAGUGGCGUCGGUUCCAGGCGGACCUCCAGACCGCAGUGGUGGUUGCCAAUGACAUCAAGGUGGAGGCUCAGCAGGAGCUCCGUACACUCAGGAGGCAGCUGCAGGAGGAGCAGGACCGCAGUGCAAAGCUUUCAUCAGACCUCGAGGCCCUGCAGGGAGUCAGAUUAGCUGUUACGCUGCGUCCGCUCCCCACCUCCAGCAGCUCCCUGUGAUGACCCUGUCAAAGAUGUCCCUCUGACAAGCCUCCCUGUGUAAAGUCCAGGAUAAGCACCGGAGCCACUUUUGAUACCAAGACGGCAGUAGAGGGGCACUAGAGAAGAGCCCUCCACCUCGUGAAGACAGUGUUAUUGUUGCACUUAUUAUUUUUCAGUGUCAUUUAAAAUGUAACGUGGUAAACCAGACUCAUUGUAAGCCACAGUGACCAGUGUAGAUGCAGUACACAAAGAGGUUUGUGAUGCAGAGUCUGGCUUCCAUUUCUCUACAUGUCUUUUGGUAAGGAAGCAGAGAACGGCAGUGCUUUAAUGCCAUUAUCUUGAGGCAACAAUAAUUUUUCUGUUAUCAUGUGUAAACAAGAAGUUGUUACCUCUUGUAAUAUUAAUCACAGAUCAGGAGCACCAUGGCAGCAUGCAUAGAUGGCGUCAUGACAACUGAUUAAGGCUGACAUUGUCAGAUCAAGGAGUACUGAUUACUGAUCAACACAUCAGACUGUACUUCAGGCAGGUAUCGCAUUGUGCCUUUUUUUUUUUUUAGAUAGAGAUAACAUCAAGAUCAAUCAUCCUCAUUUAUGAUUCCCCCCAACAACAGGGUUGGGUACUUAACUUCGUACUUUUAUGGAUACCAACUAAAUAAUAUCAGUACUAUUGAGUACCAAUUCACAUUAAAUCAAUCUGUGCCAAAUUUUGAUACCUGAGAGCGCAUCUGCUUGAGAACGCCAAGUUCAGACAGUAAGCAGAAGUGACCCUAACCAUUACUGGCUCCGCUGCCUGCAAUGCAGUUAUGUGAAACAGCCAGGUUUAACUUUAGAUGGAAGGUAGAAGCUUAAAAGAAGCCGGCAGAAAUGCUCCAUGGUCGGCUUCUCUGUGCUUUGUGCCUGGCAAUCAUGCUCCAUGGAGCAGCUAGGUUUAGGGGGUGGAAGUGCUCAGAAGCUGUAAAGCUCAGGCACCAGCAGAGCUCCAUCAGCUUCCCAGCGAGCUGAAACUAUCGCUGCAGCACCAAUCUGCACUGAUAGUUUCAGCAUUUGGUCUAUUUUCUUUUGUAUUUUAUUUUAGAAAUUACCAAGUGUCACCGCUGUUUGUGAUUAUGUGCCUAUUCCACAUAUUUGUCAGAUGUGUCUAAACAGAGAGUGAGAGAAACGAGCAGACACACAGAAAGACAGACAUAGGAUUAGCUCUAAGUGUGAUUAGCAAAGGUUGUCUGCUACAUCAAGAGUACCAAAGAUAGUUACUGUUGGGUAGCGGCACUGAAGUCCAGAUACAAGAACCGGUAUCUAUUCAAUGUGAAUGGUACCCAGCCCCACUCAGCAAUCCUGAAUCAUGACAGUGAUCUUUAAGGCCGAAAUCAGGUGUGAUCAAAUGAGCCAGACACUAUUUUUCUCCAUAAUCAUCUUGAGAUCUCCAGACAACAAAAGUUGCUUUCUUGUGAUAAAUGAUUUCAUUAUCUCGAGACAUUAGCCUUUUGUUUACUCAAGAAUCAACAUAAAGUAACCCAUUAUCAUGAGAACACGAGCUCAAGAUAACAAAAUAAUUUACUCAUGAUCUCGAGAUAACAGCAUUAGAGAGAUAACUGCAAGCACUGUUGUUCUCUGCUUCCGUAUUUUGGAACCUUUUAAAUGAUAAUUCUGUAUUUUUCUUUCUCAUUGAAUGUAUUGUUUGUUUGUACAUUUCUUGACCUGUGUUGAAGAAAUGCAAUAUGUUUGAAAGACUCUCCUCUUCAUACUGUGCGAUGCUGAUUUGUGCCUUUUUUUUUAGAGAGUUGAGAUGGUACAGUAGAGGGUGAUGACCUGCUUAAAAAGCAGGAUGAAGCAGAAAAAAGACUUGAUGAAUAUUUAGUCGACGGCAAAGCUGAAACAGUUAAGAUUCACAGCAUUCUGCCAGAACGAAGAAAAUCUGAAAAUCCUCAUUUCAAGGCAAAAGCAAUGCAGCAGAGUCCACUUGAUAUUGUUUUAAAAAAAGGAGGUGGCUCAUGGUUUUUGUGCUGGACCUCACAUUUGCUUUUAUUUCUGUGUCAGUGAAAUUACUCUCACUUUGACCUCCGUCUGCUUAUUUUUCAACGUCAUUUCAGUUUAAUAUUUAAGUUUAUGGUCCUGUAAUGAAACUGAAUGCAGUGUCGUAUGUAGCCAUUAGAUGGCACCAUUGAACACACAACUGCCAUCCAUACUGUAGGAGACAUCAAUGUGGACAUACUGGUAUCAUCUGCUCUGUUACUGUCAUCUGUGUACCUUUUGAUUAUUGCUAUGUUACUCUUAAAUCUACAGAGUAUUAACUCUUUCUGCCAGAUUAAAUAACCAGGUCCAGAACACUGCCAAAAUUAGAUUUUACGACUGCCACAAACACAAACUGCUGUACCUGAGAGUUACUCCUACAACAUACCAAAAGGUUGAUGGUCCAUUUUAACACAAAGACUAUAAUGACAGAUUCCUCUCAAAGCGCCACUGUCGGAUGAAAAGUCGAACUUCUUUUUCUCAGCAACGUUACUGACAAGUUAAUAUAGAAACCCUUUUUAUCUGAACCUCAGAGGUCACUGACACCUGCUGAUCGAUCUUGAAUCACUAUGUUUAACAUAUUUAGUGUAUUUCCUCAGCACUCUUUAUAUUAAUGUACCAGAUCUUCAGAUUUUGUGAUGUCACUCACUUUGACAGAAAUAUCACAUGGUUGAUUUAUUUCAUCUUUGAGCCAAACCCUUACACACAAUGUUCUCUGUUGUCAUACAGCAUAAUGGCGUAUUGCAGCAGGAUCUCAGGUUCUCCUCAAAAGUCCAUCAGAGAUGUUCAAUUUGUGCAUUUUCUCUUUUUUUAAUUAAAAGCCAUAUUGUUCCGCCAGGUGAAAAGGUACUGGUGCUCAAAAUGUAAACAUUUGGAUAUGCUCAAACAGAAAAGAUGAGAUGUGUAAUUGGUCAUUUUCUUACUAUAGUGAAGCCGUUUAAAGGUCCAGUGUGUAAGAUUUAGGGGGUUUAAGUUGUUUCAACCAGCUGAAACUUUAUCUGGUUAGAAUUCCUAUAGUGUUAAUUGUUCUGUGUUUUUUUAAUGGGAGCUGAAUUAUCCACAGAGGUCUCUUCCUCUCAAAAACAAAUGGACCCGGUGAUUUAAACCGGCAGUAACACUGAAUAUAGCAGUUUCAUGUUACAAAUCAGGGCUGCUUCGACACUGUUUGGCACAUUGCAGACAACCCGCUAGCCCAGCACCUACUAGUCUGUGCUCACUGUAUGUCAGAUCCAGACAUUUAAAGCAGUCUUUACUGUGAGUUGAAUUAUCCGUAGAGGUCUCCUCCUCUCCAAAACAAACAAACCCAGUGAGUCAAACCAGUAGAAACACUGAUAAAAGCAGUUUGACAGUAAAAAAAAUAUCUGUGUUUUUUGUGGAGGGGCACUGACUAAGGUGGCUGACGCAAAAAUACAAAUGGCCCUAUCUAGAGCCAGCGUUUGCUUCAUCCAUUCUGGGCUACUGUAGAAACAUGGUGAUCUCCAUAGUCGAGGACCUGCUCCCUACGUAGAUAGAAACGGCUCAUUCUAAAGUAACGGAAACACCACAAGUCUUAUUUUGAGGUGAUUAUACACUAACUCAGUGGUUCCCAACUGGGUCCAGAUUUCUCUUCAGUCUUUAGUUCAAGGUCCAUACUUGUAUUUGGCCAUGUCUUAAGCCAGUUUACUGUCUCUGUUAAGUAGCUGUUUGUUAUUCACUCACUCUACAGCAGGAAACAGCACUUCAAAGUAAAAGCUCGGUGCUGGAAAUCCACUGCACUUAAAAAUAAAGUGUGUUUUUUGCAAAGUUGACAUGUUAGCAGGUCACUUGUCGUCCAUUCAGGAUGGACCUGCAACCCACCAGUAGGGAACCACUUAAAAGAAAA
RNA transcript from Epinephelus moara (kelp grouper), 6862 nucleotides. It is a transcript of the gene named sperm antigen with calponin homology and coiled-coil domains 1, with no coding region annotated. NCBI's taxonomy places the organism in Eukaryota, Metazoa, Chordata, Actinopteri, Perciformes, Serranidae. The record is from RefSeq and is a predicted model, not a curated record. The transcript is spliced from 9 exons.